GACGAACGCUGGCGGCGUGCUUAACACAUGCAAGUCGAACGCUGAAGCCCUUUCGGGGGUGGAUGAGUGGCGAACGGGUGAGUAACACGUGGGUAAUCUGCCCUGCACUCUGGGAUAAGCCUUGGAAACGGGGUCUAAUACCGGAUAGGACACAUCCCCGCAUGGUGUGUGUGUGGAAAGUUCCGGCGGUGCAGGUUGAGCCCGGGGCCUAUCAGCUUGUUGGUGGGGUGAUGGACUACCCAGGCGACGACGGGUAGCCGGCCUGAGAGGGUGACCGUCCACACGGGGACUGAGACACGGCCCAGACUCCUACGGGAGGCAGCAGUGGGGAAUCUUGCGAAAUGGGCGAAAGCCUGACGCAGCAACGCCGCGUGGGGGAUGACGGCCUUCGGGUUGUAAACCUCUUUCGACCGGGACGAAGGGUGACUGACGGUACCGGUAGAAGAAGCACCGGCUAACUUCGUGCCAGCCGCCGCAGUAA
RNAcentral lists this ribosomal RNA (481 nucleotides) under uncultured bacterium. Its description in RNAcentral is "partial 16S ribosomal RNA". It matches the Rfam family "Bacterial small subunit ribosomal RNA", at positions 28 to 523 of the family's 1533-position model. The record is from RNAcentral.